Molecule: small nuclear RNA, 121 nt
Filed under: Chelonoidis abingdonii (Abingdon island giant tortoise)
Lineage: Eukaryota; Metazoa; Chordata; Testudines; Testudinidae
Description: U4 spliceosomal RNA (ENSCABG00000005029.1)
Rfam family: U4 spliceosomal RNA
About the family: U4 small nuclear RNA (U4 snRNA) is a component of the major U2-dependent spliceosome. The structure of U4 snRNA from yeast and human has been reported.
Source: RNAcentral
AAGUUACUGCAGUGGCAGUAUCAUAACCAAUGAAGUUAAUCUGAGGUGUGAUUAUUGCUAGUUGAAAACUUUUCCCUGUUGCAUGGUUUUGAAACAGAUGCAUUGUACAAUGGGAUAGCAU